GACGAACGCUGGCGGCGUGCUUAACACAUGCAAGUCGAACGGAAAGGCCCUGCUUUUGUGGGGUGCUCGAGUGGCGAACGGGUGAGUAACACGUGAGUAACCUGCCCUUGACUUUGGGAUAACUUCAGGGAACUGGGGCUAAUACCGGAUAGGAGCUCCUGCUGCAUGGUGGGGGUUGGAAAGUUUCGGCGGUUGGGGAUGGACUCGCGGCUUAUCAGCUUGUUGGUGGGGUAGUGGCUUACCAAGGCUUUGACGGGUAGCCGGCCUGAGAGGGUGACCGGCCACAUUGGGACUGAGAUACGGCCCAGACUCCUACGGGAGGCAGCAGUGGGGAAUAUUGCACAAUGGGCGGAAGCCUGAUGCAGCAACGCCGCGUGCGGGAUGACGGCCUUCGGGUUGUAAACCGCUUUCGCCUGUGACGAAGCGUGAGUGACGGUAAUGGGUAAAGAAGCACCGGCUAACUACGUGCCAGCAGCCGCGGUGAUACGUAGGGUGCGAGCGUUGUCCGGAUUUAUUGGGCGUAAAGGGCUCGUAGGUGGUUGAUCGCGUCGGAAGUGUAAUCUUGGGGCUUAACCCUGAGCGUGCUUUCGAUACGGGUUGACUUGAGGAAGGUAGGGGAGAAUGGAAUUCCUGGUGGAGCGGUGGAAUGCGCAGAUAUCAGGAGGAGCACCAGUGGCGAAGGCGGUUCUCUGGGCCUUUCCUGACGCUGAGGAGCGAAAGCGUGGGGAGCGAACAGGCUUAGAUACCCUGGUAGUCCACGCUGUAAACGGUGGGUACUAGGUGUGGGGUCCAUUCCACGGGUUCCGUGCCGUAGCUAACGCUUUAAGUACCCCGCCUGGGGAGUACGGCCGCAAGGCUAAAACUCAAAGGAAUUGACGGGGCCCCGCACAAGCGGCGGAGCAUGCGGAUUAAUUCGAUGCAACGCGUAGAACCUUACCUGGGUUUGACAUGGAUCGGGAGCGCUCAGAGAUGGGUGUGCCUCUUUUGGGGUCGGUUCACAGGUGGUGCAUGGCUGUCGUCAGCUCGUGUCGUGAGAUGUUGGGUUAAGUCCCGCAACGAGCGCAACCCUUGUUCACUGUUGCCAGCACGUUAUGGUGGGGACUCAGUGGAGACCGCCGGGGUCAACUCGGAGGAAGGUGGGGAUGACGUCAAGUCAUCAUGCCCCUUAUGUCCAGGGCUUCACGCAUGCUACAAUGGCUGGUACAGAGAGUGGCGAGCCUGUGAGGGUGAGCGAAUCUCGGAAAGCCGGUCUCAGUUCGGAUUGGGGUCUGCAACUCGACCUCACGAAGUCGGAGUCGCUAGUAAUCGCAGAUCAGCAACGCUGCGGUGAAUACGUUCCCGGGGCU
RNAcentral lists this ribosomal RNA (1346 nucleotides) under uncultured bacterium. Its description in RNAcentral is "bacterial SSU rRNA". It matches the Rfam family "Bacterial small subunit ribosomal RNA", at positions 28 to 1381 of the family's 1533-position model. The record is from RNAcentral.